RNAcentral lists this ribosomal RNA (203 nucleotides) under Acinetobacter baumannii. RNAcentral's name for it is "partial 16S ribosomal RNA". It matches the Rfam family "Bacterial small subunit ribosomal RNA", at positions 1 to 212 of the family's 1533-position model. Lineage: Bacteria; Pseudomonadati; Pseudomonadota; Gammaproteobacteria; Moraxellales; Moraxellaceae. The record is from RNAcentral.
UUUAACUGAAGAGUUUGAUCAUGGCUCAGAUUGAACGCUGGCGGCAGGCUUAACACAUGCAAGUCGAGCGGGGGAAGGUAGCUUGCUACUGGACCUAGCGGCGGACGGGUGAGUAAUGCUUAGGAAUCUGCCUAUUAGUGGGGGACAACAUCUCGAAAGGGAUGCUAAUACCGCAUACGUCCUACGGGAGAAAGCAGGGGAUC